UACAGAGGGUGCGAGCGUUAAUCGGAAUUACUGGGCGUAAAGCGCGCGUAGGCGGCUUUGCAAGUCGGGUGUGAAAUCCCCAGGCUUAACCUGGGAACUGCAUUCGAGACUGCAUUGCUAGAGUAUGGGAGAGGGAAGUGGGAUUUCCGGUGUAGCGGUGAAAUGCGUAGAUAUCGGAAGGAACAUCAGUGGCGAAAGCGACUUCCUGGACCAAUACUGACGCUCAUGUGCGAAAGCGUGGGGAGCAAACAGG
This 253-nucleotide ribosomal RNA is filed under the name uncultured bacterium. RNAcentral describes it as "partial 16S ribosomal RNA". It matches the Rfam family "Bacterial small subunit ribosomal RNA", at positions 524 to 776 of the family's 1533-position model. The record is from RNAcentral.